AGUGAACGCUGGCGGCAGGCCUAACACAUGCAAGUCGAGCGGCAGCGCGGGGGCAACCCUGGCGGCGCGCGGCGGACGGGUGAGGAAUUCGUCGGAAUCUGACCUAUUGUUGGGGAUAACGUAGGGUAACUUAAGCUAAUACCGCAUCCGUCAUAAGGGUGAACGUGGGGGAUCGCAAGGCCUAAAGCAGAUAGCUGAGACGACGACAGAUUAGCUAGUUGGUUGGGUAAAGGCCCACCAAGGCGACGAUCGGUAGCUGGUCUGAGAGGAUGAUCAGCCACACUGGGACUGAGACACGGCCCAGACUCCUACGGGAGGCAGCAGUAGGGAAUAUUAGACAAUGGGCGCAAGCCUGAUCCAGCCAUGCCGCGUGUGUGAAGAAGGCCUUCGGGUUGUAAAGCUCUGUUGUCCGGAAAGAAAAACCUGGAGCGAAAACCUUCGGGGGAUGACGGUACCGGAAGAAUAAGCACCGGCUAACUUCGUG
This 484-nucleotide ribosomal RNA is filed under the name uncultured bacterium. RNAcentral describes it as "partial 16S ribosomal RNA". It matches the Rfam family "Bacterial small subunit ribosomal RNA", at positions 29 to 507 of the family's 1533-position model. The record is from RNAcentral.